RNAcentral lists this long non-coding RNA (204 nucleotides) under Manihot esculenta (cassava). RNAcentral describes it as "long non-coding RNA (MESC_LNC004141)". Lineage: Eukaryota; Viridiplantae; Streptophyta; Magnoliopsida; Malpighiales; Euphorbiaceae. The record is from RNAcentral.
UUAUGGUCAUGUAAUAGCUAGUGGUGGACAUGAUAAAUGUUGAAAUGUAAUGUUUAGUACGGUAAUGUAAUGAGUAGUGUUAAACAAUUAUGUAAUGUAAUGGUGUUAUUAAGGAUAGAAUUGUGCUUGACCCUAGUAUGUUGUUAAUCCCUUUAUACAUGGUCUUUAAUAAUGUUUUAUCAUUGUUUUGUAAACCAAACUUAA